Molecule: ribosomal RNA, 497 nt
Filed under: uncultured bacterium
Lineage: Bacteria
Description: partial 16S ribosomal RNA
Rfam family: Bacterial small subunit ribosomal RNA
Source: RNAcentral
GAUGAACGCUGGCGGCGUGCCUAAUACAUGCAAGUCGAGCGAACAGACGAGGAGCUUGCUCCUCUGACGUUAGCGGCGGACGGGUGAGUAACACGUGGAUAACCUACCUAUAAGACUGGGAUAACUUCGGGAAACCGGAGCUAAUACCGGAUAAUAUAUUGAACCGCAUGGUUCAAUAGUGAAAGACGGUUUUGCUGUCACUUAUAGAUGGAUCCGCGCCGCAUUAGCUAGUUGGUAAGGUAACGCCUUACCAAGGCAACGAUGCGUAGCCGACCUGAGAGAGUGAUCGGCCACCCUGGAACUGAGACACGGUCCAGACUCCUACGGGAGGCAGCAGUAGGGAAUCUUCCGCAAUGGGCGAAAGCGUGACGGAGCAACGCCGCGUGAGUGAUGAAGGUCUUCGGAUCGUAAAACUCUGUUAUUAGGGAAGAACAAAUGUGUAAGUAACUAUGCACGUCUUGACGGUACCUAAUCAGAAAGCCACGGCUAACUACGUG